ACUUUCAACAACGGAUCUCUUGGCUCUUGCAUCGAUGAAGAACGCAGCGAAAUGCGAUAAGUAAUGUGAAUUGCAGAAUUCCGUGAAUCAUUAAAUCUUUGAACGCAAAUUGCACUUCUUGGUAUUCCGAGGAGUAUGCUUGCUUGAGGGUUG
This 153-nucleotide ribosomal RNA is filed under the name uncultured Acaulospora. RNAcentral's name for it is "5.8S ribosomal RNA". It matches the Rfam family "5.8S ribosomal RNA". From Rfam's summary of the family: 5.8S ribosomal RNA (5.8S rRNA) is a component of the large subunit of the eukaryotic ribosome. It is transcribed by RNA polymerase I as part of the 45S precursor that also contains 18S and 28S rRNA. The record is from RNAcentral. Lineage: Eukaryota; Fungi; Glomeromycota; Glomeromycetes; Diversisporales; Acaulosporaceae.